GAUGAACGCUGGCGGCGUGCCUAAUACAUGCAAGUCGAGCGAACGGACGAGAAGCUUGCUUCUCUGAUGUUAGCGGCGGACGGGUGAGUAACACGUGGAUAACCUACCUAUAAGACUGGGAUAACUUCGGGAAACCGGAGCUAAUACCGGAUAAUAUUUUGAACCGCAUGGUUCAAAAGUGAAAGACGGUCUUGCUGUCACUUAUAGAUGGAUCCGCGCUGCAUUAGCUAGUUGGUAAGGUAACGGCUUACCAAGGCAACGAUGCAUAGCCGACCUGAGAGGGUGAUCGGCCACACUGGAACUGAGACACGGUCCAGACUCCUACGGGAGGCAGCAGUAGGGAAUCUUCCGCGAUGGGCGAAAGCCUGACGGAGCAACGCCGCGUGAGUGAUGAAGGUCUUCGGAUCGUAAAACUCUGUUAUUAGUGAAGAACAUAUGUGUAAGUAACUGUGCACAUCUUGACGGUACCUAAUCAGAAAGCCACGGCUAACUACGUG
RNAcentral lists this ribosomal RNA (497 nucleotides) under uncultured bacterium. RNAcentral's name for it is "partial 16S ribosomal RNA". It matches the Rfam family "Bacterial small subunit ribosomal RNA", at positions 28 to 507 of the family's 1533-position model. The record is from RNAcentral.